GGUCUUUGCACUUUUCAGCAGAUACUCUGAUAGCAGCAGGCUUUCUACGACAGUUCGAUUAACAACUGAGACUAUUCCCAUGGCCAGAUCCUAAGGCCUAUCAAGCUGCAGUGUGAAUUAGUUGAGAAGUAAAUCCCUAACUUUCUGGGAACAUUUAUACUGAAGCAUUUAAGCUUGCUAAUGAACAUCGCAUUGUCCAUUUGAUUGCAUCUGUCAUAAAUGAAAUAAAGCGUAAUCAUUCCUAGAAAUUUUGAUUCUGAGCAGCAGGGAUGAGUUCAUUUAUCAACUGUGGUUAAUUUGAUUUCUGCUUAAAGCCAACACAACAUUAUUAAAUGA
Molecule: long non-coding RNA, 336 nt
Organism: Drosophila hydei
Lineage: Eukaryota; Metazoa; Arthropoda; Insecta; Diptera; Drosophilidae
Exons: 2
Source: RefSeq, a predicted model, not a curated record